UACGGAGGGUGCAAGCGUUGUCCGGAUUUAUUGGGUUUAAAGGGUGCGUAGGCGGCCCGGUAAGUCAGUGGUGAAAGCCUCCAGCUCAACUGGAGAACUGCCAUUGAUACUGCCGGGUUUGAGUACAGACGAGGUUGGCGGAAUUGAUUGUGUAGCGGUGAAAUGCAUAGAUACAAUCAAGAACUCCGAUUGCGUAGGCAGCUAACUAGGCUGUAACUGACGCUGAGGCACGAAAGCGUGGGGAGCGAACAGG
Molecule: ribosomal RNA, 253 nt
Filed under: uncultured bacterium
Lineage: Bacteria
Description: partial 16S ribosomal RNA
Rfam family: Bacterial small subunit ribosomal RNA
Source: RNAcentral